This is a long non-coding RNA of Pan troglodytes (chimpanzee), 1259 nucleotides long. RefSeq lists it as uncharacterized. The record is from RefSeq and is a predicted model, not a curated record. Lineage: Eukaryota; Metazoa; Chordata; Mammalia; Primates; Hominidae. The transcript is spliced from 5 exons.
ACUUCUCUCUGCAGGUUACACCACCCCCAACCUGGACCCCAUCCAAUAGGCUCGUGGUCCCUGAUGGUCCUGGACCACUGAUUUGAGGCCUUUCUGCUUCCUUUGAUUCAGUCUUUGGCAGAGACCCAGGAGCAGGAGUCCUUGAUGGCACCUGGCCCUUUCUAGUCACCGACAAGGGAAACCUGAGAAACCAUUCUCAGAAAUGGAACUAAAUUGACAUGGCAUUCGUCUCCUCCAGAGGAUACAGCACCAAGGCACCAUCUUGGAAGUAGACUGGAGCUCUCAGCAGACCAGAACCUGUGGAUAAAUAAAAAUGAAAACACUUUCAUGGACCCUUAAAGGUUGUCCUGAGCCCUGUGCCUGAUGAAUACGUGGACUCUGCUCACCAAACUCCCUAUGAAGUCCGAAGCUGCAAACCUACCCUUCAGAUUUGCAUUCCCAAUGACUAACCCCUGCCCAUGACAGAAAGGAGCAGAGGUGAAGACGAAGAAACUUUCCACUGAAAGAGGGGACUGCAGACCCAACCAGGCCCUUCACAUUGGGGGUGGACACCAGCAGCCUAGGGGGCCCCCAGCACAUUCCACCAGGGAACACAUUCCUGCCUGCACCCCUGGCCCAGAAUUAAGGCAUAUUAUGAAUAUUCAGUGAAACAACGUGUGUGCUCACCAGGCAGGAAGAGCUCAGCAAAUGGUGGCUGGUCUGGAAAUUAUUGUCAUCACUAUAAUCCUCAUCGACAUCAUCAGCCUUAUUGUCAUCAUCAUCAACCUCAUCAACGUCAUCAUCAGCCUCAUCAACGUCAUCAUCAGCCUCAUCACUGUCAUCAUCAGCCCUUUGUCAUCAUCAUCAUCCACCUUGCUGUUCUCUUCCUUGUUGACAUCACUAUCCUCAUCCUCCUCAUCACCAUCAACAGCAUUAUUUUUAUUUUUUAUUCUUCCACCUGUAAGAGUUUCUUUUCCUCCCUCUUAUUGUUUUCCUCUUGGGAUGACUAGUGGUGAAGGAAGUGUCAGAGGCAAUGACCUCACAGCUGUCGUUGCCAUGGGUGACACCUCCUAGAGAGACCUUACUGGAACUUUCAGUCCAGGGGAGUUUCUGCUGUUCCAGGAUGGAGGAAAUGUUCAAGAACUGUGGAGCAUCUGAGACUUUUUCCUACUUUUGAUGUCCACCUAGUCAAAGUUCAGGUAGGCUUAUUGUCUAUUAUAAAAGCUCCAGGCUCCCAAAGCUUGGCGAAACCCCGUCUCUACAAAAAAAUACAAAAAUUA